AGUAAACUUAAGUUGCAUUUGGAUAGAGUGGCGUGGGGUGUGUGAGUGUGAAUACGUGGAGCCGAGUCAGCAUCGCACGCCCCACGACUCAAAAAAAUAGCUUAUUCCUUACUUUCCUCGAUUGAAGAGCUUCCUUGGAGCAACACAAUUGAAUUGAAUUAGAUUCAAUCCAAACAAACGCGUUACCUUAUCUUCUUUUCUUUUUCACCCUUUAGCUGUCAUUUACUCCUUACCAGCUCAUACAUAUGUCUCAUCGAAUUCCUCUCCUUUUAUACUUUCUAAACUUCUAUUUUUCUCCAUUAUCCAUUCUCUUCUCACUACUACUUUAUAUGUCAAUUUUGUUCUUUAACUUAAUCACAUGAGACGAGUGCAAAGCGGGACAAUCCAUUUUCGUCAGAGGCGAAGAUUUUGACGGAGGUAAAGAUUCAAUUUACAAUUACAACGACAAAUUAGACAUGGGCGGAAGUGGAAAGUCGGAACAGGGAAGUAGAUGCAAAAUCCAUCUCCGAUUGUCAUACUUAUUUGCUAUCUAUAUAUGUAUUAUAUAGUUAAAUAAGUUUUUAGUCUCCAUAAAAUUCAAUUAUUUUAUUUUUAGUUUUUUAAAAAAAAUUUCGUCAACUUUUAGUCCUUUUAAAUUUUUUUAUUUUUAUUUUUGGUCUAUGAUUUUAAAUCAACUCUUGUGUAUCUUUUGAAUUUUUGAAUAAUAUUCUGCAGUAAUGUUUAGGA
Molecule: non-coding RNA, 726 nt
Organism: Cicer arietinum (chickpea)
Lineage: Eukaryota; Viridiplantae; Streptophyta; Magnoliopsida; Fabales; Fabaceae
Source: RefSeq, a predicted model, not a curated record